UACGGAGGGUGCAAGCGUUAUCCGGAUUCACUGGGGUUAAAGGGUGCGUAGGUGGGCUAGUAAGUCCGUGGUGAAAUCCCCGAGCUUAACUCGGGAACUGCCGUGGAUACUAUUAGUCUUGAAUAUCGUGGAGGUAAGCGGAAUAUGUCAUGUAGCGGUGAAAUGCUUAGAUAUGACAUAGAACACCGAUAGCGGAGGCAGCUUACUACGCGAUUAUUGACACUGAGGCACGAAAGCGUGGGGAGCGAACAGG
This 253-nucleotide ribosomal RNA is filed under the name uncultured bacterium. Its description in RNAcentral is "partial 16S ribosomal RNA". It matches the Rfam family "Bacterial small subunit ribosomal RNA", at positions 524 to 776 of the family's 1533-position model. The record is from RNAcentral.